RNAcentral lists this ribosomal RNA (443 nucleotides) under uncultured soil bacterium. RNAcentral describes it as "bacterial SSU rRNA". It matches the Rfam family "Bacterial small subunit ribosomal RNA", at positions 26 to 518 of the family's 1533-position model. The record is from RNAcentral.
AGAACGAACGCUGGCGGCAUGCCUAAUACAUGCAAGUCGAACGAACACUUCGGUGUUAGUGGCGCACGGGUGCGUAACGCGUGGGAAUCUGCCCUUGGGUUCGGAAUAACAGUUGGAAACGACUGCUAAUACCGGAUGAUGACGAAAGUCCAAAGAUUUAUCGCCCAGGGAUGAGCCCGCGUAGGAUUAGCUAGUUGGUGAGGUAAAGGCUCACCAAGGCGACGAUCCUUAGCUGGUCUGAGAGGAUGUUCAGCCACACUGGGACUGAGACACGGCCCAGACUCCUACGGGAGGCAGCAGUAGGGAAUAUUGGACAAUGGGCGCAAGCCUGAUCCAGCAAUGCCGCGUGAGUGAUGAAGGCCUUAGGUUGUAAAGCUCUUUUACCCGAGAUGAUAAUGACAGUAUCGGAGAAUAAGCCCGGCUAACUCCGUGCCAGCAGCCGC